AAAUUGAAGAGUUUGAUCAUGGCUCAGAUUGAACGCUGGCGGCAGGCCUAACACAUGCAAGUCGAGCGGUAGCACAGAGAGCUUGCUCUCGGGUGACGAGCGGCGGACGGGUGAGUAAUGUCUGGGAAACUGCCUGAUGGAGGGGGAUAACUACUGGAAACGGUAGCUAAUACCGCAUAACGUCGCAAGACCAAAGUGGGGGACCUUCGGGCCUCAUGCCAUCAGAUGUGCCCAGAUGGGAUUAGCUGGUAGGUGGGGUAACGGCUCACCUAGGCGACGAUCCCUAGCUGGUCUGAGAGGAUGACCAGCCACACUGGAACUGAGACACGGUCCAGACUCCUACGGGAGGCAGCAGUGGGGAAUAUUGCACAAUGGGCGCAAGCCUGAUGCAGCCAUGCCGCGUGUGUGAAGAAGGCCUUCGGGUUGUAAAGCACUUUCAGCGGGGAGGAAGGCGAUAAGGUUAAUAACCUUGUCGAUUGACGUUACCCGCAGAAGAAGCACCGGCUAACUCCGUGCCAGCAGCCGCGGUAAUACGGAGGGUGCAAGCGUUAAUCGGAAUUACUGGGCGUAAAGCGCACGCAGGCGGUCUGUCAAGUCGGAUGUGAAAUCCCCGGGCUCAACCUGGGAACUGCAUUCGAAACUGGCAGGCUAGAGUCUUGUAGAGGGGGGUAGAAUUCCGGUGUAGCGGUGAAAUGCGUAGAGAUCUGGAGGAAUACCGGUGGCGAAGGCGGCCCCUGGACAAAGACUGACGCUCAGGUGCGAAAGCGUGGGGAGCAAACAGGAUUAGAUACCCUGGUAGUCCACGCUGUAAACGAUGUCGAUUUGGAGGUUGUGCCCUUGAGGCGUGGCUUCCGGAGCUAACGCGUUAAAUCGACCGCCUGGGGAGUACGGCCGCAAGGUUAAAACUCAAAUGAAUUGACGGGGGCCCGCACAAGCGGUGGAGCAUGUGGUUUAAUUCGAUGCAACGCGAAGAACCUUACCUGGUCUUGACAUCCACAGAACUUUCCAGAGAUGGAUUGGUGCCUUCGGGAACUGUGAGACAGGUGCUGCAUGGCUGUCGUCAGCUCGUGUUGUGAAAUGUUGGGUUAAGUCCCGCAACGAGCGCAACCCUUAUCCUUUGUUGCCAGCGGUUAGGCCGGGAACUCAAAGCGAGACUGCCAGUGAUAAACUGGAGGAAGGUGGGGAUGACGUCAAGUCAUCAUGGCCCUUACGACCAGGGCUACACACGUGCUACAAUGGCAUAUACAAAGAGAAGCGACCUCGCGAGAGCAAGCGGACCUCAUAAAGUAUGUCGUAGUCCGGAUUGAGUCUGCAACUCGACUCCAUGAAGUCGGAAUCGCUAGUAAUCGUAGAUCAGAAUGCUACGGUGAAUACGUUCCCGGGCCUUGUACACACCGCCCGUCACACCAUGGGAGUGGGUUGCAAAAGAAGUAGGUAGCUUAACCUUCGGGAGGGCGCUUACCACUUUGUGAUUCAUGACUGGGGUGAAGUCGUAACAAGGUAACCGUAGGGGAACCUGCGGUUGGAUCACCUCCUUA
Molecule: ribosomal RNA, 1538 nt
Filed under: Klebsiella variicola
Lineage: Bacteria; Pseudomonadati; Pseudomonadota; Gammaproteobacteria; Enterobacterales; Enterobacteriaceae
Description: bacterial SSU rRNA
Rfam family: Bacterial small subunit ribosomal RNA
Source: RNAcentral